This 216-nucleotide ribosomal RNA is filed under the name Glomeromycotina sp. Its description in RNAcentral is "partial small subunit ribosomal RNA". The stretch from base 40 to 216 matches the Rfam family "Eukaryotic small subunit ribosomal RNA", at positions 686 to 864 of the family's 1831-position model. The record is from RNAcentral. Lineage: Eukaryota; Fungi; Glomeromycota.
GUGUCAGGAGGUUGGUCGUGCCACCGGUACGUACUGGUCUCACUGAUUCCUCCUUCCUGAAUAACCGUAAUGCCAUUAAUUUGGUGUUGCGGGGAAACAGGACUGUUACUUUGAAAAAAUUAGAGUGUUUAAAGCAAGCUAACGCUUGAAUACAUUAGCAUGGAAUAAUGAAAUAGGACGAUCGAUCCUAUUUUGUUGGUUUCUAGGAUCGACGUA